This 766-nucleotide long non-coding RNA is filed under the name Oryctolagus cuniculus (rabbit). RNAcentral's name for it is "lncRNA (ENSOCUG00000037465.1)". Lineage: Eukaryota; Metazoa; Chordata; Mammalia; Lagomorpha; Leporidae. The record is from RNAcentral.
GAGAAAGAGAAAGAGAUCCAUCUUUCAUCUCUUGGUUCACUCUCCAAAUGCCUGCAACAGCCAGGGUUGUGCGAGGCUGAAGCCAGGAGCCAGAAACUUCAUUUGGGUCUCCUAUGCUUGUGGAAGAUACUUGCACCAUGACCUGUUGCCUCCCAGGUGCAUUAGCAGGAAGCUGGAUUAGAAGCAGAUGAGCCAGGACAGGAACUACGUGCUCCCACAUUGUAGCUUAAACCAAUGUGCCCAAGUUGACCAGUUGAUGAGCACCUAUUAAAAAUUUUCUACAGUCACUAAUGAUUUUAUGCCAAAAGUUUAGAAGUAGUCCUUGACUCAGUCUCAAUGUAGGGAUGGAAUAGAUGGGUAAAUGGAACCCAUUGUGACUAAGUAGGUAUGAGAAAUGUUCAGGGGGACAAAGCCCAGUGGCUCUGCAUAACAAAGGAAUUGGAAUUUAAGAAUGAGAUAGAAUCCAGUUAAUGGACAUGGGAGAGAGAGGGCAUUCCAGUUGGGAUCUUGGACUAACCAGAGAUGUGGAGAGCCUGUGUGCGAAUACGAAUGCACACACACACCAAUGAUCCAAUGAUGCCUCCGGCCAGGAGGGCAAAUCAGCCUCUGCUAUGAACCAGCGCUGCCCCUUGAAAAACAGCCUUCGGUGAGCAACCUCCUAAGUGGUUAAGUUUGCAGACCUUGGCCUAUCAUUUCCACUGUCAUGAAUUCUCAAUGACAUCAUCACUGUAAAAUUAGGAACUCUCUUUCUUUCCCUGCAGAUGUG